CAGUAGCCGCGGGAAUACGAAGGGGGCUAGCGUUGCUCGGAAUGACUGGGCGUAAAGGGCGCGUAGGCGGCGGCCAAAGUCAGGCGUGAAAUUCCCGGGCUCAACCUGGGGGCUGCGUUUGAUACUUGGUUGCUUGAGUGGGGAAGAGGGUCGUGGAAUUCCCAGUGUAGAGGUGAAAUUCGUAGAUAUUGGGAAGAACACCGGUGGCGAAGGCGGCGACCUGGUCCUUGACUGACGCUGAGGCGCGAAAGCAUGGGGAGCAAACAGGAUUAGAGACCCCUGUAGUCCCUGUCUCUUAUAC
Molecule: ribosomal RNA, 301 nt
Filed under: uncultured bacterium
Lineage: Bacteria
Description: partial 16S ribosomal RNA
Rfam family: Bacterial small subunit ribosomal RNA
Source: RNAcentral